UGAAGAACGUAGCGAAAUGCGAUAAGUAGUGUGAAUUGCAGAAUUCCGUGAAUCAUCGAAUCUUUGAACGCACAUUGCGCCUUCUGGUAUUCCGGAAGGCAUGCCUGUUCGAGAGUCAUUAACAACCGUUUCGAUCCCUUUCUUUCAGAAAUUACAAAGAGGAAAAGGGUUUGGUUAUGGUGGAGGAGGGAAAGGGAGCGUUUAGCCUGUAAAAAAAGAGGCUGUGUUCCGCCUCCCCCCCAAAAUUGUACAGGCGGUCGUGUGCGCCCACGCAUCGAGGUGUUGUAAAAGCUGCCACGGCACUUUUCACCUGUGCAGUGCGAGAUUGGCCAGCCGGUUUAAAAACCCCUCCAAACAAUCAAAGGUUGACCUCGGAUCAGGUAGGGAUACCCGCUGAACUUAAGCAUAUCAAUAAGCGGAGGA
This 423-nucleotide unclassified non-coding RNA is filed under the name soil metagenome. RNAcentral describes it as "partial contains 5.8S ribosomal RNA, internal transcribed spacer 2, and large subunit ribosomal RNA". The stretch from base 1 to 118 matches the Rfam family "5.8S ribosomal RNA", at positions 37 to 154 of the family's 154-position model. The record is from RNAcentral.